Morone saxatilis (striped sea-bass) is the source of this 4846-nucleotide long non-coding RNA. RefSeq lists it as uncharacterized. The transcript has 3 exons. The record is from RefSeq and is a predicted model, not a curated record. NCBI's taxonomy places the organism in Eukaryota, Metazoa, Chordata, Actinopteri, Moronidae.
UUGGUUCGAAUUAUAGUCUGGUCAGUUUCAGCCAGUGAAUUUGUCAUAUUUUAGUUUAGUUAGUAUAUUUUAGUUUAGGACGCCUUUCUUAUGUCUAUAUUCCAAACUGUUCAGCUGUGACUCAGUGGAGUUGACUUCAGUUAGAUGAUGGUCAGUCAGUAUAAUCAGUUGUGUUGUGAUAAAGAGUACGGGACUUAUUAUUUCAGGAUCACAAGUGAGCAGCACAUUUUCAGUGAUUCUAUUUCUGUCCCUCUCUCUAGAUUUCUCCAUCGCUCAAGUUGCCAUCUUCUCUGCCACCUCUUCCUCUGUAUGACCAACCUCCCAUCAGCCCUUUCACCAGCCCUGAGACCUCCACCCCGCCUCCUCUCCCACGCUCACCCUCCACCGCACUCAACGGGGAGCACAAGCCUCCACCACCCGCCUCGUCACACAAGGGACCGCUAUCCACCCACAAUCAAAGCUCUGGCAGGAGUCCAGUGUCUCCAGGAUUUCCGCAGCCACUGAGAUUCACCCCUGAAGGAGGCCCGGGAAAACUACGACCUGUUCGAGCUGCUCCUCCUCCACCCAAACAGCACCCCCGCCGACAGCAGGAGAAGAGCGACAAGACGGAGGAGGUGGAGAUCACGCUGGUGUGACAGACAGACAAGCUGGCGGGCGGUUAUAGAGACAUACAAAAUAAAAACAGAUGACAGACAUGCGUAUCCUACAGGCUGGGGAACUGAACUGCUCUGAACUGAAGUCAGCUUAAAUAAAGUGAUGUGAAGUAAACUGAACUGAACCACGUCAGACGCCCCUGGCCUCUCCACGUCUUCUCUCAUCCUCAAGUUGAGGAGGAGAGCAGAGGGAGGGGAUGAAGUCAGAGUAUCCAAUUAAAUAAUCUCCGUAUUAGCUUCCUAAUGAAGUGCAGCAGUAGCCACCCCACCCCCCACGUCCCUCUCCGCCCUUCCCCGUCCUUCCAUUCUUGCCUUAAAACUUCACCUCAACGGGCAGCAAACCCGAGCACACUGAAGAAGAGGAAGAGGAGGAAGAAUGUUUAGAGAGGGGGAGUGUGAGGGAAAGUUAAUGAUGGGGUUUGCAAGUUUCCUUUUAACUUGUUAAGCUUACUUCAAGAUAUUGUACGGUAGCUUAUCUCUCUGCGCAAGACCAUUCUGCUACAUCUGAGAACUUUUUUCACUCACUUACGAACAAAUAAUGAAACGUGAAAAGUUCUUGAGCCCUGAAACAAACGUAAAGUAAAGGCUUAUAAGACAAGUCAAAAAUAUAAAUAAAUACAUAAUAAUAUUGUUAGACAGAAAAAAUGGAUUGUAAAAAGAAAUGUUAUGGUUUAUACCUAUACAUUUAAUCAUUUAUUUAUUUUCCCCAUGCAACAUUUCCUUUUCUUCUUGAGGAAGGCUCUGUGGCUAGCUGAUCUGAAAACACUGAAAACACACCGAGCACCAGCUAGCUAGCUGAAGCAAACCGUAGAACUACAACAGCUACACUACUGUUAUGUUAAUAUCCAUAUACCGUACUGCAUACUGCUGUAGCGUCACUGUAUAAACUAGUCGGCAAGCUAACGCUAACAAAGCUAGUUAGCUAGAAAUUUUACAUUUUUGGACAUUCAAUCACACACUACUUAAUGUACAAAAUGACACAAUAAAGUCAAAGACACAUUUAUUAUUCAAAUGAAUAUCGAGGCAUGUCUCUUAAGUCUGUGAACUUCCAAGUAGCACAGUAGCGUAGCAAGUAGCUUGCUGGCUAAAAGGCUUUAGCUGCUAUUACAAGAUGUUUAUACAUGAAUGCUAGAGCAGUAUUUAGUACAGUGUAUUGCUGAACAACAUUAGGUGCAGUGUAGUUUUAUGCCAAAAGUCAGCUUCAGCUUGGUAGCUAGCAAAAAAGACAUAAGCUCAGACUCAGUGUGUGUCAUUAGUGUUUUCAGGUAAGCUAGCCCUAUGUGGUAAACAAAAUAAGGAAUAGAUACAUGAUUUUAAAAUGUGUGCAUAUAAAAAUGAGUUGAAAAAUGAAAUGAGCUAGUGAAAGCUCUUUAGUUUCGAUGUAUUUAUUAUUUUUGACUUAUCUGAUGCCUUUGACUAUAAUGUGAGUGUCAUAAAAAGUAAGCUUGAUGAGCGUGAAUAAGUAUAAAACUUGCCAAACGUGUCAUGAUUCGGAUUGGAAAUUGGGGUUUAAGUAAAUGGCCAGAGAAACUGGGUGGUGUGUGGACGCAGUGUCCCCCCUCGCCAACCCUCCCCUUCGCCAUAUAUAGUCCUUAUCAUCAUACGUAUUCAAUGUGUAUUAGUACAGUACAUUACUGUUGUCAUAGGAAUGUUAUGCACAGCGUUUCAUAUAGACUAAUUCAGCUGAAUGGAAAACCAUGUCUGAUAUGUAGUGAAAGUUUUAUCCUCAUCUUAUACUGAAAGGGCAUUGUAAAUACAGUAUGAAGGAGAGAUGAAAGAGGAGAGGGAAGAAGAGGAUGAAAGGACAAGAGAGAAAAAGGAGGCUGGAUCCUCCCUUCUGUUCUUUCCUCCGCCUCUUCCCACCCUUCCUUUCUUUCUCUCCCUUUUAUCUUUAAUGUCUGUUCUGUCCAUUGGCAGUCAGUGUGAAUCGGUGGCUAUCAUAUACACAUCUACAUUAUAUUACGUACACAUUGCUAUAUCUUUCUCUCAUUCUGUGACCCUCUGUGUGCUUGCAUCACUGAUUGGUUCAAGGAGAAGCCGGUGGUGCUUUUCAAAGGCACUGAAAUUGUUGGUAUUCACUAUGUGGUAACAAAGAGAAGUUUUAUUUGAAAUCAUAUAGACACUGAUCAUAUUUGGGGGUCAGGAGUUUUUAUUAAUCACAGAUGGAACUGUAUAGCUUGUAUCCCAACAGAUCAUAUCUCCUCUCACAUUGAUUUCGCUCGCCUAUAACAUAUAUCCUUUGUUGACAUGCAUUACAUUCGCUGGGUAUUAUUUUGUCCCUGUUGUCUUCUCGAACAGGCAAGUUUGUUUUUUUAAUUUUAAUACAGCACAGAAAACAUCCAGAAAACAUCCAGAAAACCAAACCUUCAACAUUUCCAGUUUGAUAUCAUCCUUUUGUUUUCCUCCCAUUUUACAUUUCAACUAUGAUUGAUGGUGGUAGAGACAGAAGAGAGGAAUAAAACAGUUGCAUCCUGCCAAAUGGACAGAACUAGCAAAUGACAUUCAAAUGGAGCUAAGUACAAUUCUUUAGUGUUUUUUUUACUCAAAGUAAAUAAAUCUUACCCCCUUAAAUACCCUUCAAGCCUUUAAAACUCCUUGCCUAAAGGGCAGCGUAGCACUUUUAUUUAUUUGUACCUUCCCUGGAAAGUAGCAGUACCUUAACGUAACAUCAGAAUGGAUAGAAAAGACUCUGGUGAAUCACUGCAGUUCAAUACAGAAAUUCUUUUCUUUCUGAUUCUGUGGUGGAUCCUCUUUAUUUCAGUGUGACUGAUAAUUUUUUUUUAUUAUUAUUAUUAUUGCUCUCCACUCUUCCAAAGAGAUGGAGAGAUAAUUGUGGACAAUGUAAUUUGGUGUUUUCCUUAACUUAUAAAUACAAAAAAAAAAACAACGUGAUUAUAGAAAGGGAUGUUUUGAAUGAAGACUUGUAGAGAAUGUGUGUGUGUGUGUGUGUUUUUGGUCCUGCGAGAGGCCUGGCUGUUUGCGUGUGUGAUUGUUUUAAGGAGAUGAGGACUUUGUUUGACUCUGAAGAUGUAAAGAUGUGUCCCACUUCCUGCCUACAUAUUUAUGUCAACCAGGGUUUGCUUUCGUAGAGCGCUCACACUGAAGACAUUUUGAAAUAAAACUCACAGAUGUCAGUGUGGAUACGAAAUUCUAUUGAUUCUUUGAGUGGUGUUGACGGACAAUAUUGUCCCAAGAUGCAACAUAUAAGAGGGUGCUCCUCACAGCUAAAACUAACUGUGCCCUGUUUUGAGAUAGCUCUAGAAAUAUAUAAAAAUGAAGCAUUCAGUCUGUGUUUAUUUGUCUUUGUUAAGGAUAUUAUCAGUUGUGCUCCAACGUUGCAGUAUUAUAGCACAUUUUAUAUUGGUGCACAACUGUGAAGUAUGUUCAUUUAUUGUAUAUUAACAGCAAAAACCGUAUAAAGUAUGAAGAUUGGUAUAAAGUGCAUACUGUGUAGUGUUAGUAUGUAGUCUGGAAUGGGGCACAGCUUUAGGAUUCGUGUUAGAAAGAAAGAAAGUCCUGAUCUGGGCUCAAAUUGAUGGGUUUCCUCUUUGCAAGGUGGAGUUGAAUUAUGUCGGAUUGAGAAAAAGUGAUGCAAGAGAUGAAGAAAUACUAAACACUUUGUUUUCUUUUGCAUUAGCUUUUGUGUAGCAUCCACACCUAACAACGUUGAGUAUGCUGGAAUAGGUUACAGUUUCAGAUCCCAACCUCUGCUCCUCUGCAGCCUCUCCUUGACCUCACUCGGAUUUUUAUUUAUAACGGUUUUCAAACUUGUUUUGAAGUUUAUGGUUUACAGAAGAGUCCCGCAGAACUUCCCACCAUAAAUGCUCGAUCAGUCUAUCUGUCAAAUACAAGAUUUAUGGCUUUUUGUUGCCAGUUGCCACUUUGAACAAGAUUAUUCUCCCUUUCUGACAGUCCCUUUGGUCCGCUACAGUGUUUAAUUAUUUGAUACGGGCCUGUUUUUGGAUUUUAUGUAUUAUAUAAUUCUUUAAUUUUUCAUCCUUCGAUUUGGCACAGCUGCACAGCUGCUGCUAUUAACAAUGUGGUGAAACAACCUUCUCUCUUUUCAAAGACUGUUGCCAUGGUGACAGUAAUGAGAACAGGUGCAAAAGUCUUUCUGCAUAUUAUUAUUGGCUGUACAAAAAACAAAGUUUGUAUUUAUUGUGUACAAAUGUUAAUUAAUAAAAAAAUAUUGA